RNAcentral lists this ribosomal RNA (433 nucleotides) under uncultured bacterium. RNAcentral's name for it is "partial 16S ribosomal RNA". It matches the Rfam family "Bacterial small subunit ribosomal RNA", at positions 29 to 507 of the family's 1533-position model. The record is from RNAcentral.
AACGAACGCUGGCGGCAUGCCUAACACAUGCAAGUCGAACGAGACCUUCGGGUCUAGUGGCGCACGGGUGCGUAACGCGUGGGAACCUGCCCUUAGGUUCGGAAUAACUCCCCGAAAGGGGUGCUAAUACCGGAUAAUGUCUUCGGACCAAAGAUUUAUCGCCUUUGGAUGGGCCCGCGUUGGAUUAGCUAGUUGGUAGGGUAAAAGCCUACCAAGGCGAGGAUCCAUAGCUGGUCUGAGAGGAUGAUCAGCCACACUGGGACCGAGACACGGCCCAGACUCCUACGGGAGGCAGCAGUGGGGAAUAUUGGACAAUGGGCGAAAGCCUGAUCCAGCAAUGCCGCGUGAGUGAUGAAGGCCUUAGGGUUGUAAAGCUCUUUUACCCGGGAUGAUAAUGACAGUACCGGGAGAAUAAGCUCCGGCUAACUCCGUG